This is a long non-coding RNA of Lolium perenne, 1221 nucleotides long. RefSeq lists it as uncharacterized. The record is from RefSeq and is a predicted model, not a curated record. Lineage: Eukaryota; Viridiplantae; Streptophyta; Magnoliopsida; Poales; Poaceae.
UUAUGGGGUAUUUUGUAUAAGGAACUAUGGAUAUGAUCCUGUCUCUCUGUGUUUGUUGAUGUUUAAGUGGUUGGACUUAAAUUUAUGGGGUGCUCUACUGUUAUUCCUGCCCAUGGUUCUAGCAUCCAUGCUUAUGCUUAUGCUAUAAUUCAGGAUAUUGUACAGGUCUGCUACCUUCCAUAUUAUGAUAAGCUACUGUUCAGCUGUGGUAGAUACACCAUAACUCAUUGCUUCAUCUUAUUGUCAUAUUGCCUAUCCUUGGUCAGUGCCUAGUUCUGGUUCAGUAGCAGUCUUUGAAGUCUGAUUCCUGUAACUUGAGCUCUACUGUAAAUUUUAUUUGUGGUUUUGCAUUUGAGGGGAGAGUGGAGCUGGAGUUGGCAAGGAAGUAGCCAUGGCAGCCGGAUCCGGCAGGCAGGGGUAGCUUUAUUCAACUCCGUGGGUUAAGGUGUGCUGACUCGCUGUGGUGCUCCUCCUCGACGUGUUGGUGUUGGUGUUCAUGGCAGUGGUCACACAGUUGACACACGACUCCUCCAUCAUGCCCCUGACGAUGGCUGCUUCCCCAGGCCUCCCGUCAUGGCAGCACACACCAUUUCAUGCCACGCCAUGGUGGAUGUAGCGCAUAUGGCACCCCUCCGGAGGAAGAAGAGGAUAACUAGAUGUCACAGCUAGUGAAAACUAGCUGGAGGGGAUGCCGCUCACCGCGAUGGCGAUCAUGGCGCAGCAGGGCGAGCCCUCCUCCUCCGAUUCGCAAGUCCCCGCCCUCUCCUGGGCGUCGGCCUCGCUGCUCCCUCUCCCGGGUGGUGGCGCUGCUCCGCUGACCACAAGUUCCUCCUCUUCCUCUCCACAAAAGGUCACCUUGCUGAUGGUGGUGCCCUCCGGGUGUGCUGCAGGGUGAUGCUGUCCACCACAGCUGUUGCCGGCGUGCACCGGAGCUCCUAGGCCUCAAAGAUAAUUCCAGGCUUCCUUUAGGUUGUGAUAAAUUUGGACAAGUGCUUGGCUAUUCAUUUAGGAUCACUAGUUUAUCAUUAGUUGUUUGAUACCUGACGCGCAUGCCUACAUAAUACAAGCUACCAACUUUCAAGAAAUAACAACAUUUGCCUUUCUAAAUUAGCGUUGCCUAUUUAUUUCCUCGGCAAAGCAACUUGUGCAAUUAUCUGAGUAAAUGCUAGCACUAAUUUGGUGAAGAGAUAUGUCAUCUUAUUAGUUAUUUAUUUCAGUUCG